This 492-nucleotide ribosomal RNA is filed under the name uncultured bacterium. RNAcentral's name for it is "partial 16S ribosomal RNA". It matches the Rfam family "Bacterial small subunit ribosomal RNA", at positions 29 to 507 of the family's 1533-position model. The record is from RNAcentral.
AGUGAACGCUGGCGGUAGGCCUAACACAUGCAAGUCGAACGGCAGCACAGUAAGAGCUUGCUCUUACGGGUGGCGAGUGGCGGACGGGUGAGGAAUACAUCGGAAUCUACUUUUUCGUGGGGGAUAACGUAGGGAAACUUACGCUAAUACCGCAUACGACCUACGGGUGAAAGCAGGGGAUCUUCGGACCUUGCGCGAUUGAAUGAGCCGAUGUCGGAUUAGCUAGUUGGCGGGGUAAAGGCCCACCAAGGCGACGAUCCGUAGCUGGUCUGAGAGGAUGAUCAGCCACACUGGGACUGAGACACGGUCCAGACUCCUACGGGAGGCAGCAGUGGGGAAUAUUGGACAAUGGGCGCAAGCCUGAUCCAGCCAUACCGCGUGGGUGAAGAAGGCCUUCGGGUUGUAAAGCCCUUUUGUUGGGAAAAAAAAGCAGCAGGUUAAUACCCCGCUGUUCUGACGGUACCCAAAGAAUAAGCACCGGCUAACUUCGUG